Molecule: small nuclear RNA, 107 nt
Filed under: Vulpes vulpes (red fox)
Lineage: Eukaryota; Metazoa; Chordata; Mammalia; Carnivora; Canidae
Source: RNAcentral
GUGCUCACUUUGGCAGCACAUAUACUAAAAUUGGAAAGAUACAGAGAAGAUUGACAUGGCCCCUGCACAAGGAUGACAUGCAAAUUCAUGAAACAUUCUGUAUUUUU